Molecule: ribosomal RNA, 253 nt
Filed under: uncultured bacterium
Lineage: Bacteria
Description: partial 16S ribosomal RNA
Rfam family: Bacterial small subunit ribosomal RNA
Source: RNAcentral
UACAGAGGUCCCGAGCGUUGUUCGGAUUCAUUGGGCGUAAAGGGUGCGUAGGCGGCGGGGCAAGUCUGAUGUGAAAUCCUGGGGCUCAACCCCAGAACUGCAUUGGAUACUGCUUUGCUAGAGUACUGGAGAGGGAACUGGAAUUUACGGUGUAGCGGUGAAAUGCGCAGAUAUCAGGAGGAACACCGGUGGCGAAGGCGGGUCUCUGGGCCGAUACUGACGCUGAGGAGCGAAAGCGUGGGGAGCAAACAGG